This 290-nucleotide long non-coding RNA is filed under the name Bos taurus (domestic cattle). RNAcentral's name for it is "long non-coding RNA NONBTAT023697". The record is from RNAcentral. Lineage: Eukaryota; Metazoa; Chordata; Mammalia; Artiodactyla; Bovidae.
CACUUCCUUAUUAAAAGGAAGCAUCAUUCUAGACUUAAAAUGGGAGAAUUAAAACAGAAGGAUGGGGUAUAAAGAAUCUGUAAAGACAUGAGAAAAACCACUGAAAGCAAGAAUAGGUGUGUUUCAUGUUUAAUAAUGCAAGAAAAAGGUAUCAGAGCACAUGACCAAUGUGACAUGCAUAUGAGAAUGCAUGGUUCUAGUGAUACACUCUACUGUGUAAAUAUCAAUUUUCACUUUAUUCUGCAAUUUUGAUCUUCUGAGGAUUAUUUUCAGGAAAUACAGCUACACAU